This 367-nucleotide long non-coding RNA is filed under the name Cucumis sativus (cucumber). RNAcentral describes it as "long non-coding RNA (CSAT_LNC002046)". The record is from RNAcentral. Lineage: Eukaryota; Viridiplantae; Streptophyta; Magnoliopsida; Cucurbitales; Cucurbitaceae.
CUGACAUCGACGACGGCACCAAUCACCUGACAAACCUGGCCGAUCGAGCCGGCUCCAGUGAACUCGUCAGUGAUCUUUCCACUCGGUCCUACGUCCGACUUGGCAGAUGGUGGGGAGGAAGGUGGUGGAGUGGCGGCGGCGGCGGAGGUGGCGUAUUGAGCGACACGGUUGAGGAGGUAGCCAUAAGGGGAAGCGCGAGAAGUGUUGGAUAAUGGAAUUCUGGGGUUGGGGGAAGAGAUGGGAGAUCUGGAAGAAGACCGCCGUGCCGACGAUCGGAGAAGGGAAGAUAAGAGUCUGCGUGAAGCCAUUGCUUGUUAGGGCUUCAGAAGCUCAGCAUAGGGUUCGAUGAAUGAGAGUGGAAUGGCAC